CCUAUCCUAACCAUUUCACUCUAAGAGCGCUAGUGAGAGAGAUAUAGGCUGAGGUAUAUGCUGUUAAUUGAAAAUGAUAAUUAAUCUUGAUUCCCUCUUUCCGCUCGGCACCUCACGGUAACAAAACCGAACCAGAAACGUAAGUCACCCCCUCACACUCCUAAAGCAUCAAGAACACCUAAACUGAACUUCACCCACUCCACACCUUCGGCCAAAUCAACCGUGGUACAGUUUGCUUGUCAGUUCAAUGUGUUUCAUCAUUUUCCACCAAGUCAGUGACGUUCCUAGGAGGGGGGAAUUACCAUCCAUUGUUAUUCCCUUCCCCUUCCAGCUGUGUGUUCAUCAGCAUAGAGAUGGAGAGUUCAUCGUUGUACUGCCUUCUCUUCCUUAGCGGGUUCUGACCGAGUUUCUCCUUGGACACACAUUGACCUGAUUCGAUUUAGUGCUGCCCCCAUUGCAUGCAGCUUGGGAUCAAACCCAGCAGUAUUUUCUGCCCCCUUUGUGCGCUGCUCAUCUUAGUCCAGGAGUGGUAAUCGUUGGAUAGUAGAAAGGUUGAGGACCUUAGCACAAAUCUUGGAGACUACCUUACUGACUGUUUUUUUUGGACCAAUUGUAUAACUGCAAGAAGAGGUGCGCAUAAUUAUUAAAGUGUGGACUGGUUUUGGUGCCGUUGAUUAAUAUUUGGACACGCGAGUGGAGUCAAUUACACCCGAGGUACCUAAGACAGCGGAAAGCUCGAGGAAGUUUCUUCAUGUGGGUGUUUUGACGAACUGUAUAAGAGGUACCACUUACCAUGAUAUGUAUGAAAAGCAGGAUGAAAGUUUUGUGAUUUGAUGAAGAUUCUCCUCGUUGAAAUUUAGAAUGUAAUGUGCUCUGUUUUACUUAUUUAACUUCCUGCAAGCUUAUAAGUAUAGAAUCUUGUUUAUGAUUUUAUUUAGUAAGGUAAUUAAUGUAAAAGUCUGGAUAUAAUUCAAGUGGGUGAUGUGGUUGGUUAGUGAAUUAAUCUUCUCAUCGAAAAUGAUUAGGUAGGAAGUAAUGACACUUCGAAAUAGUGACAUGUACAGUACAAAGACGAAACAUUGAGGCCCUAGUUUAUCAGCCUAAGUUUCUGUAAGUAAUAAGAGGUAAUGUUACUUCGUGAUUAGAUGGAACCUUACAAUCUUAGGAACUCUUUUUGAUUUAGGCCACUGACUUGUUAGUCCCAUUUUAUAUGGAAACCUUUAAAUUUAUUAUUAAUGAGUAGAAGUAGGGUGUGUCAUCAAGGGGAGUGAUAAUAAAGAGAUUUUGAGAAGCCUCUAUCUAUUGCCAUGUUUUACUUCAUGUGUUAAAAUUCUGAAUCGGGUGAAUAGAAGGUUAAUCACUUAUGCCUAUACUAGUAAUAAUUAUUAAAAUUUAUAAAGUAAAGAAGUGGUUUGCAAAUGGAUUUGUUUAGUUAUCUAUUAAUUAUGCACUAAAACCCUGAGCCUAUUACAGUUUUAUAUAGACUGGAGUUUCUUGGUUUAGUAAGGUUUUCGUGUCCGUUUUAUUCCACUUGUGUGUUAUGUAAAUGUUGAUGUUUGAAAAGAACUCAGGAAAUUGCUCGUAUCAUGAUUAAGCUUAGGAAGAUUUUUCUUUUAUUUCCUUCCGUACAAACAAAAUUGUGUUAUAUCUAUAUUAUUUAAUGAUCAUGUAAAGUACAAAAUUUAUUGGUAAUGCUCUGAGAUGAUGAUGACUUUUAUAGCUGGCUGUAUGAAUGCAGUAAACUAUAUGGCAUGGUGUAAUGGUGUUAAACCUUAGACUUAGGCAGAUUUUGGGGAUGGUAAGACGAUGUUUGGUGUAACACCCCGUGUAUACCCGGAAUAUUAACAUUACAUCGUAUUAAGCGGUGCUUAAUUAAAAAUGCGGAAUAUUCUUUUUCUUUUCAAUUAUGACGUCAUUAUAAAUUACCAACUUGAUUACUUAAUCAAUUUCAUAAAAUAACGCCUGUAUGUAAAUUGCAAUAAGACAUAUACUGAAAUACCUCAAUGUAUAGAUAAAGUGUGUAUCUAAAUCACGUCAUUACAUCAAGUAAUCCGGACAAUAUCCCGAUACAUUAUUACAACUCCAAAAGACUCAAAACAUAAUCAAGACAUAACAAUACUAUGUGUCAUGGACAAUCCCCAUGCUCACCAAAUAAACAUAGUAAAUAACAAGUCUCAACAUAAAACUCCACAAACGUAAACUGAAGCUAUAAGCAUAAACAACAGGCAAAUCCAGCACCCAAUCAUGGCAGCAUAAUAUAACAGCAAUCUAACUCAGCUCCGGCCUCCUGCCGCCUGAGGUCUCAACAUUACCUGACCCUGAAAUAAGCAUUCCCCAAACGUGGGGUGAGAUCUCUAAACUAGAAAUCUCAGUAAGACAAGGGGUCCUCAAGGAUC
Gastrolobium bilobum is the source of this 2396-nucleotide long non-coding RNA. RefSeq lists it as uncharacterized. The transcript is spliced from 4 exons. NCBI's taxonomy places the organism in Eukaryota, Viridiplantae, Streptophyta, Magnoliopsida, Fabales, Fabaceae. The record is from RefSeq and is a predicted model, not a curated record.